RNAcentral lists this transfer RNA (87 nucleotides) under Patescibacteria group bacterium. RNAcentral's name for it is "tRNA-Ser". It matches the Rfam family "tRNA". Rfam says of the family: Transfer RNA (tRNA) molecules are approximately 80 nucleotides in length. Their secondary structure includes four short double-helical elements and three loops (D, anti-codon, and T loops). Further hydrogen bonds mediate the characteristic L-shaped molecular structure. tRNAs have two regions of fundamental functional importance: the anti-codon, which is responsible for specific mRNA codon recognition, and the 3' end, to which the tRNAs corresponding amino acid is attached (by aminoacyl-tRNA synthetases). tRNAs cope with the degeneracy of the genetic code in two manners: having more than one tRNA (with a specific anti-codon) for a particular amino acid; and 'wobble' base-pairing, i.e. permitting non-standard base-pairing at the 3rd anti-codon position. The record is from RNAcentral.
AGAAGGGUGCCAGAGUGGUUUAAUGGGCACGCUUGGAAAGCGUGUGUACCCUUAUCGGUACCGCGAGUUCGAAUCUCGUCCCUUCUG